GACGAACGCUGGCGGCGUGCUUAACACAUGCAAGUCGAGCGGUAAGGCCCUUUCGGGGGUACACGAGCGGCGAACGGGUGAGUAACACGUGGGUGACCUGCCCUCAGCUCUGGGAUAAGCCUGGGAAACUGGGUCUAAUACCGGAUAUGACUCCAUGACGCAUGUUGUGGGGUGGAAAGCCUUGUGCGGCUGAGGAUGGGCCCGCGGCCUAUCAGCUUGUUGGUGGGGGGAUGGCCUACCAAGGCGACGGACGGGUAGCCGGCCUGAGGAGGGCGGACCGGCCACACGUGGGAC
RNAcentral lists this ribosomal RNA (294 nucleotides) under uncultured bacterium. RNAcentral describes it as "partial 16S ribosomal RNA". It matches the Rfam family "Bacterial small subunit ribosomal RNA", at positions 28 to 320 of the family's 1533-position model. The record is from RNAcentral.